Molecule: small RNA, 4480 nt
Filed under: Cryptococcus neoformans H99
Lineage: Eukaryota; Fungi; Basidiomycota; Tremellomycetes; Tremellales; Cryptococcaceae
Description: Cryptococcus neoformans var. grubii H99 hypothetical RNA
Source: RNAcentral
GCUGUACUUUCUUGUAAUUUUGAGACCUUGAUACUAUCCAAGCUCGGCCUCUUCGUGGCUUUCUUGCUGUUCGUUACUACAUAGUAUCACUUCAUUUUUCCAACAAAUAGACUCUUCGUAUCAUAGACAAAUAGUACUAAUAAAAAGAAAAGAUCGGAGCUAUCACCAUAUCUCUGUACAUGCCGGAAAUAAAAAGCAAUAUCAAUGACUCUAUUCAACAUCUGUGGUUAUUCCUCGUCAUUACUAUCUUCUUCCUCAUCUUGCGCAGGUUUGGCAUUAGCUUCAACCCACUCUCUCGCCCUUGCCUUCGCCUUAUCCUGACCAGCCGCAUCGCCUAUUCUCUGUUCGAUAGUUAACCAUUUCUUGAACAGGAAUCUGCGCUAUCAUUAAUAUCCACCUAUCAACAUUGUCGUGGGAUACUUACUUGGCUUUCUUGCUAGUCAACUUCUGCUCGAGAGCUCUGUCCAUCAAGCCUCUCACACCUUGGAUAUCUCCCACUUUAGCAACUUGAUCGAUAUAGACACCCCAGAGAUCCAAACGUUUGGGGAAUCUGUCUACAAGCCCUUCGAAAAGAGUCUUGCCUCGCUCUGCGUCACCGUGUUUGAAUUCGAGGAGCGCCAUUUUUUCAAUAGUCUCGACAUCUACAAGCACGACUUCAUGCUCCUCGGUAAAAGUGCUCGAGCCGCUUCCACAUCACCUUUGUUGAGGUAGAAUUCAGCAAAACGGGUCCAGGAUUCAGGAGAUUAUGACAAGAUGUGCUACUCACUUCACCCUUUCCGGCUACUUGCAAAGCCUCAGCAUAUCGCAUGUACACCGUCCGCUUGUCGUUAUAUUGAGCCGCCUCUUCGAAUACCUUCUCAGUUGCAGACACGGUCCCGAAGGCAAUCUCCAAAUUGAUCAGAGCCAUCCAGACAUUCAAUUUCUCCUCUUCUUCUCGGUAUGAGAUCUUCUCCAAAGCUUGCCUGCCAAUUCUCCUUGCCUUCUCAAUCUCAUGAAGCUGAAGGUGGAAAGACAUGUACUGAAUCCAGAGAAAGGAGGAAUUGGGGGAAGCAAGGAGAGCACGCUCGUAUUCUGCUGUGGAUGAAGGCCUAGAAGAGGGAGCAGUAGCAGUAAGGUCAACAGCUUUUGAUUUGCCCUUGGAUUUGGCAGGAGCAACAGCCUCUUCAUCAGAGUCGGACUCGUCGUCUGAUUCAGGUGCAGCAGCGAGAGCUUCACCGGUCCAAUCAAAACCGGAACCAAGGUUCAAGGCAGUUCUGGGGGCCGGCUUAGAGUUCUGGGGGGCGAUAUCUUCUUCGUCGGACGUUGCUUCUCCAUCUUCUUCAUCAAGUUCCAGUGCCUCCUCGUCCUCAUCUUCCUGCCCUUCCCCUGAUUCUUCAUCGUCACUUUCCAACUCUUGAUCCUCUUCAUUGAACUGCUCAUCAUUCUCCUCUUCGGCCUCAUCGUCUUCUUCUUCGCUCUUCUCUCCACCCUCAAACUCUUCGCCGAAAUAGCUCGCCUUGAUGCCGAACGAGAUCUUCCCCUUCUCCGUAUCAAUAGAGACGAUCUUAGCCUUCACCUGAUCACCCUCUCUAAAGCCCUUUAGGGCUUGUGCAACAUCCGCCUUCCUGUUGUCUGUGACUUCACUUUUGUGGCACAAGCCACUAACGUUUGAACCUUCGAUCUUCAAAAACAUCCCAUAAGCUUCGACCUUCCUUACAACAGCAACGACUUUUUGGCCCUCUUCGAAAUCGGAAAGAGAAAGCAAAGCGGUCUUCUUCGCAGACUUUGAAGGGUUUUUACGGAGGGUCAUCUCAAUAGAGUUAGAUCUGGGAUUGAUGGAAAGAAUCUUGCCAGAGACGAGUUGAUUGAUUUCGAAACGAGAUUCCCAAUCCUUGACAUACUGCUUAAAUCGUUAGUACAACAUCCUUGAUACAGCAGUAUUAACAUACCUCAUCAAAGAGUUCCUUGAUCAUGAUUCUCGCGGUAACAUUCCUUCCCAAGGAAACAAAGACUCCGUGGCCAGCAAUGUUCUUAACCAGACCUCUAACGCUUUCACCUUGCUUCAAGUCAUCCACGGUGUUGACUUCCCUGUCAACUACGUUUUCCUUACCUUCCACUCGAGAAAGACGAGUAGAAAGAUCAAUGGCACGCUUAGACCUGUUGACAGCAAGGACGUAACACUUGACCUCUUCGCCAACUGUAAGGGGACCACGACCGGCGGCGAGGGCAAGGUCAUCAGAGGAGUCGCAGGAAUGCACACGGCCACGAAGAUUGUUGGGGAGCUGGACCAUGUACCCCUGAGAAUUUUGUUCUUGAACGGUUCCAGUGAUAAUCUGCCCCACUUCAAUUGCAUCAAUGGCCUUGACAUGUGCCGAAAUACCAGAAGGAGCUUUGUCCUCCUUCUUCGCCUUUUCCUUCUUCGCAGCAACAGUCUUCUUGAUGUUAACAAUGAUUAAACCAGAGACGGGGUUCUUGGACACGACAACCAAGUCAUCAAUCUUCUCCCCUUCCUUGAGACUUCCUCGGAGCUCCUCAAUGCCUGUAUGUCUCUGGUUACUCAAGUUGCUCAAACUCAACAAUGCAGUUAAACCGUUACCAUCAAGCUUCACGACGACUUGCUCAGUGUGAACUUGAGAGACGGUACCAGAGACAGCCUCGCCAACCUCAAGCUUCUCAGCGGCAGUUGCGGGUGCAGUAGGAGAAGCUUGCUUAGCAGAGACAACAAUCCGAGAAGCAGAGGGGUCAACGGUGAUGACACGGACAGUGAGGGGCUUGCCAACGUAGAACGCCUCAGAAAGAUCUUUGAUGUGAGUUUGACUACAGUAAAAAUAUCAGAAUUUGCAGUUUGAAUGUACAAGGUUGACAUACCUGCACUCCGAAUGAGGCAUAAAGGCCUUCAAACCAGCGAACAACUCUACAAUGACACCCUUAUCGACGAUUUUUAACACGGAUCCAAGAGUUAGUUCUCCAACCUUCAGAUCGUCAAAGCCCUGAGGGACUGCCAAAUCUGACUCGAGAAAUGUCUUUUUCAAAGUCAAGACAACUCUGUUCCUGGUGGGCUCGAGGUAGAGAACACGGGCCUUGACAGAAGCUUCUGGCUUGAACCUUUUUUGGGGAUGCUUCAAUCUGAUGUCGGCGUAAUGAGUGGGGUGAACGAUACCAUCAACAUUGCCAUGGACGUUGACAAACAACAUCUUAUCGGUUAAUCGACGAAUAGUACCCUUUAAUUGCUGACCGAUCUUGAGCUCGCUGACUUGCAUGAAAAGCUGAGAAAGGACAGAUUGUUCAAAUGAGAGAAGGAGCACACCGUCCAUGGGAGAGUGACCAAUGACACGAGCUCGGUGCAGGGUACCGGCUUUGAAUUGAGGGGUGGCGUUAGAAAGCACAGGGAUACGCUCAUCGGCCAAGUGGCUGAUAUGGACGAACCCUUCCAAACCGUCCUGAGUCCUGACCACGACACCCCAGUCAUUUAAAACUCUUGUGACCUUAACACUUUGAUACACUUUACCGAUGGGGAUAGCGAGCUCGAGAGGAGUAUCAUCGCCCUUUUGGAUAGGGCUGGUAAAGUUCAAGACAUGGGGAAGGGCUGAAAGAGCGAAAGAAUGGGGAUUGGCGGCGAGAUUAUCAUAGAUGACUCGAGCGCGGAUCUUCUUACCGAUCUUGUACUUGUCUUCAAUGUCAAUUUCCCCAAGAGGAAGAUGGGCAAGGUCGAUAGUACCGUCGAAGAAACCAGCAACUUUGACAUUCAAACCAGAAGGAACCACCGCGGUGAUCAGAGCAUUUACGGAGUGGCCAGGAAGGAUAGAACCGACGGUGGACACUUCGCUGAUCUGUGAACGAGCGAUAUCUUGCUGGUCCAAGGAAAGAUGGACCACACGGCCUCCAGCCGCAAUAGAAGAGAUGGUGGCGGAAAGGAGUUGACCGGGGACGAGUGCUUGGGCGGGAACAGAUUUGGCCACUUCGUCUUUAGAAACGAAACCUUCAACGGAGGAUCCGUCCUGAGCAUCCAAGCCAACACCCACUAUCCAUCCCUUGUCUUCUUCAGAUUUAACUUCACCCACCAGGUAGUAACCAGUCUCAAGGUCCUUCUUAGCAACCUCUGAGUUGACUUUUUUAGGGAUGAGGGUCAAUUCCACACGAGAAGCGAGCUUGGUGGUCUCUGUGACAGGGUAUUGAGAGAUGAAUGAUUGACUAGCAGUCGGGUAAAGAGUAAGGACCUUUGCAGGGACAUAUUGUCCAGCAACAAACAGCUGAGCAAGGUCGGGUGCGGAAGACUCGUCGUCCGACUCUUCUUCACCUUCGUCCACAACCAUGGCUUCUUCGGCAGUGAGAAGCUGGGUUAAAGUGUCGGAGAUCUCGGUGAUAGGGACGUGCGCGAGGAGGUUAUUGGGAAGGGACAGAAUAAGAUGGAGAGGUAAAAUAGUGUGGACACGAGCGAGGACGUGAGUGCCAGGGACCAAUCGCUAGUGUUCGUCAGUGACUUAUCUAUGAGACUUUUGAG